Molecule: transfer RNA, 73 nt
Filed under: Stegodyphus mimosarum
Lineage: Eukaryota; Metazoa; Arthropoda; Arachnida; Araneae; Eresidae
Rfam family: tRNA
About the family: Transfer RNA (tRNA) molecules are approximately 80 nucleotides in length. Their secondary structure includes four short double-helical elements and three loops (D, anti-codon, and T loops). Further hydrogen bonds mediate the characteristic L-shaped molecular structure. tRNAs have two regions of fundamental functional importance: the anti-codon, which is responsible for specific mRNA codon recognition, and the 3' end, to which the tRNAs corresponding amino acid is attached (by aminoacyl-tRNA synthetases). tRNAs cope with the degeneracy of the genetic code in two manners: having more than one tRNA (with a specific anti-codon) for a particular amino acid; and 'wobble' base-pairing, i.e. permitting non-standard base-pairing at the 3rd anti-codon position.
Source: Rfam by way of RNAcentral
UCCUUCGUGGUGUAAUGGUCAGCACGCUCGGCGCGUGUUCGAGAGAUUCGAGGUUCGAAUCCCGGAGAAGGCA